This 267-nucleotide long non-coding RNA is filed under the name Homo sapiens (human). RNAcentral's name for it is "HSALNT0273294". Lineage: Eukaryota; Metazoa; Chordata; Mammalia; Primates; Hominidae. The record is from RNAcentral.
GAUUACAGGAGUGAACCACCGUGCUUGGCCUUUAUUUCCUAUUCUGGAAUUGGGCAACACUUCUUCCAUAAAAUACACUUUGCCCGAAGUUUUUACAUACAAAUUCUACUAGUCACACCUGGCCAUUCAGUGCAGUUGCUGAAUUAAUAGAUAAUGCUUAUGAUCCUGAUGUGAACGCUAAACAAAUAUGGAUUGACAAAACAGUGAUAAAUGACCAUAUAUGCUUGACAUUCACCGACAAUGGGAAUGGUAUGACUUCUGAUAAAU